RNAcentral lists this ribosomal RNA (254 nucleotides) under uncultured Pseudomonas sp. Its description in RNAcentral is "partial 16S ribosomal RNA". It matches the Rfam family "Bacterial small subunit ribosomal RNA", at positions 99 to 356 of the family's 1533-position model. The record is from RNAcentral. Lineage: Bacteria; Pseudomonadati; Pseudomonadota; Gammaproteobacteria; Pseudomonadales; Pseudomonadaceae.
CGGACGGGUGAGUAAUGCCUAGGAAUCUGCCUGGUAGUGGGGGACGAACGUUUCGAAAGGAACGCUAAUACCGCAUACGUCCUACGGGAGAAAGCAGGGACCUUCGGGCCUUGCGCUAUCAGAUGAGCCUAGGUCGGAUUAGCUAGUUGGUGAGGUAAUGGCUCACCAAGGCGACGAUCCGUAACUGGUCUGAGAGGAUGAUCAGCCACACUGGAACUGAGACACGGUCCAGACUCCUACGGGAGGCAGCAGUG